This 628-nucleotide long non-coding RNA is filed under the name Rattus norvegicus (Norway rat). RNAcentral describes it as "long non-coding RNA NONRATT003153". The record is from RNAcentral. Lineage: Eukaryota; Metazoa; Chordata; Mammalia; Rodentia; Muridae.
GGGAGGGUGGUGAAUUUCUGGUUAGGCAGUUUGUACCCUGCUCUCUAACUGGAAGUGUGUGUGUGUGUGUGUGUGUGUGUGUGUGUGUGUGUGUGUGUGUUGGGGGUUGCUGAGGGGCCUGGACUGGGCUGUGACUCUCUGCUUCCCCCCAGUGUUCAUUUCCAGUUACAUGGUGUUGGCACCAGUGUUUGGCUACCUGGGUGACAGGUACAAUCGAAAGUACCUCAUGUGCGGGGGCAUUGCCUUCUGGUCCCUGGUGACACUGGGGUCAUCCUUCAUCCCCAGAGAGAUGAGGAAAGUGAGGCUCAGAGAGGUUAAGCUAUUUUCUCAAAGUCACAGCUAGUAAAUGGAGCCAGGAUUCCAGCCAGGUCUGUGUGACUCUAAACCCAGGCCUCCCUCACUGCCUCUGCUGUUUCUCUAGCGCUAGCUGGAGAGGUCUCCUGGGAGGCUGGCUCCAGGGUGGGGUGCCACCUCCCCCAUGUCUCCUUUCCCAGCAUUUCUGGCUGCUCCUCCUGACCCGGGGCCUGGUGGGGGUCGGGGAGGCCAGUUACUCCACCAUUGCGCCCACCCUGAUCGCCGACCUCUUCGUGGCAGACCAGCGGAGUCGGAUGCUCAGCAUCUUCUAUUU